GUGGAGGUUUCACAACAACCUAGAAGCUGUCCCAUGCCAGAUCUCUGUCGGUGAGAAAAUGUGUGUGGAUGCUGACUUCUAGAAGACUCCAAAGCGCUUGUCUUCCCCACUCCCCAUUUCCAAAGGCUGAGACUCCUCUGCACUCCGAGUUUCCUCCCACGCUUCGUCUGAAGAGUGGGUUUUGGGGAGUGAAGGAUAGAAAAUAUCUGAAGACUCUUCCCUAUGACUUAAGACAUGAAUUUUCUUCUCAAGUCUUGAACUAAAGUCAGAAAGUGUUUGCAAGAAAUGUUCUUCUAGGUCCCACAUCCACGGGACCAGAUGAUGCCUGGCUUCCUGAUGGAGUAGCCAACCUUGCAGAUGGCCCUCGAUGAUCGGCAGUACCUGGUCUUCAUGUGCUUGUGUUGUUCCUCAAUAUUGUCCCUCAAAUGUUGAAUCAGGACUACAGUGGAAAUUAUAAUGUGACUUCUGAGGCCAGGUCAUAAAAGGCAUUGCUGCUUCUGCCCUGGCCUCUUGGAUUGCUUGCUCUGUGAGAAGCUAGCUGCCAUGUUGUGAGGACACUCAAGCAGCUCUGUGGAGAGGCCCAUAUGGAGAGGAACUGAAGGCUGGGCAACAGCCACACCAACUGGCCAGCCAAGGAAAUGAACUAUCUUGGAAGUGGGUCCCUAGCUCCAGCCAGAUGCAUGUAGCCCAGCUAAAAACUGAAUGCACCCUUAGAGCUCCCAAAACAGAACAUUCCAUCCAAGGUGCUCUCAAAUUCUUGAACCAGAGAAACUAGAAGAGAUAACAAUUAUUUUUCUUUUAAGUUCCUAAGUGUUGGGGUAACUUGUUAUGCAGCAAAGCAUAACUAAUAAAUAUUUAGUUCCUAGAAGCAAGAUGCUGCUGUAACAAAAAUCUAAAAAUAUGAGAGUGGUUUUGGGACCAAGAGUGGGAAAAAGUUGUAGAGACCAUGAAGAGAGUGUG
This 960-nucleotide long non-coding RNA is filed under the name Homo sapiens (human). RNAcentral describes it as "HSALNT0269442". The record is from RNAcentral. Lineage: Eukaryota; Metazoa; Chordata; Mammalia; Primates; Hominidae.